Molecule: ribosomal RNA, 253 nt
Filed under: uncultured bacterium
Lineage: Bacteria
Description: partial 16S ribosomal RNA
Rfam family: Bacterial small subunit ribosomal RNA
Source: RNAcentral
UACGUAGGGGGCAAGCGUUGUCCGGAAUCAUUGGGCGUAAAGAGCGUGUAGGCGGCCCGGUAAGUCCGCUGUGAAAGUCCAGGGCUCAACCCUGGGAUGCCGGUGGAUACUGUCGGGCUCGAGUCCGGAAGAGGAGUGUGGAAUUCCUGGUGUAGCGGUGAAAUGCGCAGAUAUCAGGAGGAACACCAAUGGCGAAGGCAGCUCGCUGGGACGGUACUGACGCUGAGGCGCGAAAGCGUGGGGAGCAAACAGG